AUGGCGGCGGUGGCCACUGUGAGCUCGGCCGGCGGGAUCCUCGCCAUGCUCCACGAGCCGGCGGAGGAGCUCAAGCUGCACGCGCUCGCCAGCCUCAACUCCGUCGUCCACCUCUUCUACCCCGAGAUCUCCACCAGCAUCCCCACCAUUGAGAGCUUGUAUGAAGAUGAGGAGUUUGACCAGAGACAGCUAGCUGCACUAGUUGUUUCUAAGGUAUUUUAUUACUUGGGCGAGUUAAAUGAUGCACUGUUGUAUGCACUUGGUGCUGGGCCUCUGUUUGAUGUUUCUGAGGAUUCAGAUUAUGCUCAUGCUCUUCUAGCCAAAGCAUUAGAUGAAUAUGCGAGUUUCAAGACAAGAGCUUCUAAAGCUACCGAGGAAGAAGGAAAUGUGGAUCCUAGAUUAGAGGCCAUAGUGGAGAGGAUGUUGGAGAAGUGUGUUCUUGAUGGGAAAUACCAACAGGCCAUGGGUAUGGCUGUUGAAUGCAGGAGACUGGAUAAACUGGAGGAAGCAAUUGUUCGGUGUGAUAAUAUUCACGGGGCUCUUUCAUAUUGCAUCAACCUUUCUCAUCAAUAUGUUAGUCACCGUGAAUAUCGCUGUGAGACUUUGCCGCAUCCAGAUUUUCUGAGCAUCUGCCAGUGCCUUAUGUUUCUGGGUGAGCCUGAAACUGUUGCGAAUAUAUUGGACACACUAAUUUCUGGAAGCAAGGAUGAUGCUCUCCUUGCGUACCAAAUUGCUUUUGAUCUGGUGGAAAAUGAAAAUCAGGCCUUCCUUCUGAACGUGAGGAAUCGCCUGGACUCACAGACUCCUGGUCAGUCCAACCCUGAUAGUGGUUCAGCUUUGCCAGUCGAUCAGACUGUUAACGUGGGUACAACUAGCACAGAACCAGCGGGUGAUGUUCAGAUGGGAAAUGACACUACUACGGCAAAUGGAAAUGCUCACCCAGUGGAUCCAAAUGAGGCAGCGCAUGCUGAUAAGCUUGCAAAACUUAAAGGGAUACUGUCAGGGGAGAAGUCUAUUCAACUUACGCUGCAAUUUUUGUAUAGCCACAACAGGUCCGAUCUUCUGAUUCUGAAGACAAUAAAGCAGGCUGUGGAAAUGAGGAACAGUGUUUGCCACAGUGCAACUAUUUGUUCCAAUGCGAUCAUGCAUGCAGGAACAACUGUAGAUACCUUUCUAAGAGAGAAUCUGGAGUGGUUAAGCAGGGCAACUAAUUGGGCUAAAUUCAGUGCAACAGCUGGGCUAGGUGUGAUUCAUAGAGGCCACCUUCAGCAAGGUCGGGCUUUGAUGGCCCCAUACCUACCUCAAAGUGGUGCAGUUGGUGGUGGCAGUCCAUACUCGGAAGGUGGUGCCCUGUAUGCUUUAGGUUUGAUUCAUGCCAACCAUGGUGAAGGAAUCAAACAAUUCCUCCGUGAAAGCCUUCGCAACACCAGUGCAGAGGUCAUCCAGCAUGGUGCUUGUUUGGGACUUGGGCUUGCAUCUCUGGGGACAGCAGAUGAAGAAGUGUUUGAGGACAUAAAGAAUGUCCUUUACACAGACAGUGCUGUGGCUGGUGAAGCAGCUGGUAUUGGCAUGGGUUUGCUCAUGGUAGGGACAGCCAGUGAGAAGGCCGCUGAGAUGCUCGCUUAUGCACAUGAUACACAGCAUGAAAAGAUUAUCAGGGGUUUGGCACUUGGCAUCGCAUUGACGGUGUAUGGCAGGGAAGAGGAAGCUGACACCUUGAUCGAACAAAUGACUAGAGAUCAAGAUCCCAUACUACGUUAUGGUGGUAUGUAUGCAUUGGCUCUAGCCUACAGAGGAACUGCGAAUAACAAAGCUAUCCAUCAGCUGCUGCAUUUUGCUGUAUCGGACGUCAGUGAUGAUGUUCGUAGGACUGCAGUUAUGGGUCUUGGAUUUGUUCUAUACAACGAACCUGAGCAGACUCCAAGAAUUGUGUCCCUGCUCUCUGAAUCAUACAACCCGCAUGUUCGUUAUGGUGCAGCUUUAGCUGUUGGGAUAUCAUGUGCAGGAACAGGGUUAAGUGAUGCCAUUUCCUUGUUGGAGCCUCUCACGUCGGACGUUGUUGACUUUGUACGCCAGGGGGCUCUAAUUGCCAUGGCAAUGGUCAUGAUCCAGACGAAUGAAUCCUUUGAUUCCCGUGUUGGAACAUUCAGGCGUCAGUUGGAGAAGAUCAUCCUUGACAAGCAUGAGGACACCAUGAGCAAAAUGGGUGCCAUACUUGCUUCUGGUAUUCUGGAUGCUGGUGGUAGGAAUGUCACAAUUAAACUUCUCUCGAGGAACAAGCAUGACAAGCUCACUGCUGUGAUUGGCCUUGCUGUUUUCACCCAGUUCUGGUACUGGUACCCACUCCUAUACUUUAUCAGCUUGGCCUUCUCGCCAACAGCCAUCAUUGGUCUCAACUCGAACCUGGAAGUGCCUAAGUUCGAAUUCCUGUCACAUGCUAAACCGUCCCUCUUUGAGUAUCCGAAGCCGACCACUCAGCAGACUACGACUUCAGCAGUCAAGCUGCCCACAGCCAUUUUGUCAACCUAUGCCAAGGCAAAAUCUAGGGCGAAGAAGGAUGCAGAAAGCAAAGCUGCUAACCAGGAGAAGACAGCAGAAGCAGAAAGCAAAGCUAACCAGGAGAAGUCAACAGCAGAAAGCAAACCUAGCCAGGAGAAAUCAGCGGACACAGAAAGCAAAGCUAAGACAACGGAAGAUGCUUCUGGUUCUACUUCAGGCGAGGCAGCUAAGACACAGGAGAAGGACGGUGAUGCAAUGCAGGUUGACGGCGCGGCAGAGAAGAAGGCCCCGGAGCCAGAACCUGCCUUCCAGAUCCUGGCGAACCCAGCCCGCGUCGUACCCGCCCAGGAGAAGUUCAUCAAGUUCAUCGAGGGCAGCCGAUACGUCCCCGUGAGGCCCGCCCCCUGUGGGUUCAUCCUCCUCCGAGACACGCAGCCCAGCGAAGCGGAGGAGCUCGUGCUCACCGACGCCCCCGCAACCGUGGCCACGGGCACCGGCAACAACGCAGCAGCCGCUGCCGCGGGGCAAGGCUCGGCCGCCAUGGCCGUCGACGACGAGCCACAGCCGCCCCAACCUUUCGAGUACUCGGCCUAG
This 3093-nucleotide ribosomal RNA is filed under the name Triticum aestivum (bread wheat). Its description in RNAcentral is "partial small subunit ribosomal RNA". Lineage: Eukaryota; Viridiplantae; Streptophyta; Magnoliopsida; Poales; Poaceae. The record is from RNAcentral.